Molecule: non-coding RNA, 881 nt
Organism: Chionomys nivalis (European snow vole)
Lineage: Eukaryota; Metazoa; Chordata; Mammalia; Rodentia; Cricetidae
Source: the annotation of a RefSeq genome assembly
CCUGGUCUAAGAAGAAUCUGUGCUUGCCUAUCAUGGCUUGGACACCUCUGAUCUUCAUUCUUCUAUCUUACUGUACAGGUUCUUUUUCUGAAUCUAUACUGACACAGCCACCCUCCAUCUCUGAGCCUCUUGGAUCAACAGUCAGGCUUACUUGCUCCUUGAAGAGUGGCAUCAAGGUUGGCAGUUACACAAUUUACUGGUACCAGCAGAUGCAGGGGAGCCCUCCUCGGUUUUUACUGUACUACUACUCAGACUCAAACAAGAACCUCGGGCCUGGAGUCACGAACAGAGUCUCUGGAUCCAAAGAUACCUCCAAGAAUGCUGCAGAGUUGCACAUUUCUCAGCUACAAGAAGAGGAUGAGGCUGACUAUUACUGUGCCAUUUGGCAAAGUAAUGGGUAUGUUUUCGGCGGUGGAACCCAGCUCACUGUCGUAGGUCAGCCCAAAUCUUCUCCCAAAAUUACAGUGUUUCCACCUUCACCUGAGGAACUCCAGACAAACAAAGCCACACUGGUGUGUCUGAUCAACGACUUCUCCCCGCGUACUGUAACGGUGGCUUGGGCGGCAGAUGGUGUGCCUAUUACCCAGGGUGUGCAGACUACAAAAUCCAUCAAAGAAAGUAAAAACUACAUGGCAAGCAGCUAUCUAAGUUUGACAGCGGACCAGUGGAGAUCUUACAAGAGCGUUUCCUGCCAAGUUAAUCAUGAAGGGAGUCUUGUGGAGAAGAGUUUGUCCCCUGCACAAUGUAGCUAGGAUCCCAGACUUCUCCUGAGCCUGGGAAGUGUGGAGCUAGGGGACCCAGAAUGGGGUCUUUUCUCUAUACUAGGGAAUCCAGGCUUCUCUUUUACCCACUGAAUAUUCAAUAAAAGAUCAUUAGUUAAU